GAUGAUGUCUCGGUGUCUAAAGAGCUAGACGAUGAGGAUGACAAGUAACCUUCUUCAUCUUCUUCAAAGAUUGUCUCUAGGUAUGCUGGUAAUGGAUGAUGAUUAAGGUAGUCCACUUCAAUUGGAGUUACUCGACAAUUGGGAUUUUGUGGAUUGUUUGAUCCUGAGUUUUGCCAUUAGUAAGCAAGUUUGUUGCUUCUGGAUGGACAAACUCUGUUGAACUAUCACUUUCAUCAGCUGAUACGUUAACGGUAACAUGGGAAUCAUUUGGUUGUUUCGCAUUUUCAAUGUCACUCUCAUCACUUAAAUAAACAACUUGAGCAUAAAGUGGACAUAAAUGAGUAUCAUUUGGUGUUACAGGUAAAUAGACAUGUGAAUUACUAUGGCUAAUAUUAUUUUUACCAUUAAGGUUAUUGUCGUUUUGAAGAUGCUGGUGAUUUACACUGUGACAAAGGAGAGAGUUAUUAUGUAGUUCAUACAAUGAUUUUGAUCCCAACAUGGUAACAAGUGUACUUUGAACAAACUUCAGGGUCAGGCCAUAUUGACACAGCUAAAUGAUGUAAGGAUGUCUUUUUGGAAGCUGAUUUUUUUGCAAGCAACAAAAUGGAAACAAAGAUGUUACACAGAGACAGGGAAAAGUGAAUGAACGACCAAGAAAAGAAAGACUCAAGGAGAGAAAAUACUUGGAGAUGUGAAUCUAAAUUAAGAUUCAGUUAAAAGAGAAAAGAAAGAGCCAGAAGAAAGGAAACUGAUGAGGACAGCAAAAAGAUGAGACAAAGACACAAGGGUGAAAGACUGAAGACAAGGAUUGGUGAUGAUAAUCGUGAAUGAAAAUUAUGAACGAUAGCUUGAUGGUGAUUAUGAGGGAAGGAGAGAAGGCGAUAAGCAGAUAGAGAAGAUCAAGAGAAGUGGAAGAAAAGGCGUGAAGGGAAGACGAGAGAGAGAGAUGAAACCUUAUGGACAAAAGUUGAGAGUAAAAGUAAUUAGAGUAAUCCCUCUAUAAGCGGUUAUCACCAUCAAUAUACACAUUGUGAUUGUUUGAUUGCAACUCAUGUUAAGCUAUUCCUUCAUUACCCGUUUCCCGUAUUUCAUGGUUAUCGCCAUUCAAACAAGGCUCAUGGUUACGUACCGAUGCUCCUCCGCCCAUCAUCAUCCAGUCUCACUCACCAUCUUUCUCCCUGUUAUGUACACAGUCACUUUAGAUCCACCUUCUCCUCCUCCAUUAUUAAAAUAGGUUUACCUUAAGUUGACACAUAUUAUCGUGUUUCGUGAUUUUGUUAUUGUUGCUGGAUGACAAUAGCAUUACGGAUGUACACAAUUACUGUAUUGCUGCCCAUUUUUUUCAUUAACCUUAAUCAACUUCAUAUUACAUUGAAAAUGGUGCUUAUAAACUUGUUUGGCUAUUUAUGCUUUUAACUUUCACUCAACAUCACUUCAAUCCAUCUUAAAUGAUUUACCUAAACAACAAUGAACCCAGCAACAACAGCAUCUAACUAACGGUCAACACUUGAAAGCACUUUUUCUGGCAAGCAAACAAUUGAAAGACUUGGCAUUCUUUGCUUUUAUGGUAUUGUCCAGCUUACAUUCAAAUCAUAAUGAUUCUGAUCUCACGAAUAAACCUUGUAAAUCUUGGAUAACAGUUUACCGUCAAAAAACAAUAUAAAAUGAACAGUAAUCACUAACAUAAUCAUCGUAAACCAUGAUCAUCAUAAAAGGAUAAAAUAAAAACAAGUAAAAUAAGCAAAAUGGAAACCCAAUAACUGAUUGUAAAGUCAUUCCACAUUGGAUCGCUCUUUGAUUACAAGACAUGGCGAUGAUCAUGUUUUUCAUGAACACCGGUUAUACCAAUAAUUUCUCAAGAUUAUCUUUCACAUUUCAACCCAACACUGAAAUUAUAUUCAAUUUACAACCAACGAUGACACAAAUGGAGUCAACUUGAUCUCGCCAUUUUUUUUGUAUUAAAAUAUAAAUACAAUUUCAUUUCAAACCAUAGAAACAUUAUCAUAUGUAAAGUAAUUAGGAAAUUGCGACGAUUCUGUCGGUAAAGUGAUUUACAAGCAAAUAUGGAGCCAAUCAUCAUUCAAGAUGGUGAUAAAGGAAAUAUAUCAACUUGAAAGGUUACUCACCUUCAUUAUUGGAAUCAUCUUCAAUGAAAUAACAACAAGGUUGAACAAUUUCCAGAUCAGUGUAUCUGCAAAUAAAAGUGAAAGGUUUAAUUGUUAAAAAUAAUUGUAAUUAUUGUUGAAAUGGUAAUGAAACAAUCAAUGUAUAAAUCAUGAGCAUAAAUCAUUGAGUAAACUGAGAGUCAGUCAAGUAAACAUAAAUUAUAUGCAUAUUAAUGUAUGUCAACCUUGAUUAUGUUAUCAAAUUGUUGCCAUUAAAUGUGAUUCCUUGUGAUUA
Non-coding RNA from Tetranychus urticae (two-spotted spider mite), 2400 nucleotides. The record is from RefSeq and is a predicted model, not a curated record. NCBI's taxonomy places the organism in Eukaryota, Metazoa, Arthropoda, Arachnida, Trombidiformes, Tetranychidae.